This 200-nucleotide ribosomal RNA is filed under the name uncultured bacterium. RNAcentral's name for it is "partial 16S ribosomal RNA". It matches the Rfam family "Bacterial small subunit ribosomal RNA", at positions 328 to 539 of the family's 1533-position model. The record is from RNAcentral.
ACGCUCGACACCUACGGGAGGCAGCAGUUGGGAAUAUUGGACAAUGGAGGAAACUCUGAUCCAGUGACGCCGCGUGAAGGAAGAAGGUCUUCGGAUUGUAAACUUAUUUUGUCAGGGAAGAAAAAAUGACUGUACCUGAAGAAAAAGCACCGGCUAACUACGUGACAGCAGCCGCGGUAAUCUGAGCGGGCUGGCAAGGC